Molecule: microRNA precursor, 75 nt
Filed under: Canis lupus familiaris (dog)
Lineage: Eukaryota; Metazoa; Chordata; Mammalia; Carnivora; Canidae
Also listed under: 1 other name
Description: mir-8799 microRNA precursor family
Rfam family: mir-8799 microRNA precursor family
Source: Rfam by way of RNAcentral
GGGGGGAGGCCGGAUCCUGAGCUGUGUCCUGGCGCCCAGUGCUCCCGGACCUGUGCUCCGGCCGCGCAGCCUCCU